RNAcentral lists this transfer RNA (76 nucleotides) under Thiogranum sp. Its description in RNAcentral is "tRNA-His". It matches the Rfam family "tRNA". From Rfam's summary of the family: Transfer RNA (tRNA) molecules are approximately 80 nucleotides in length. Their secondary structure includes four short double-helical elements and three loops (D, anti-codon, and T loops). The record is from RNAcentral. Lineage: Bacteria; Pseudomonadati; Pseudomonadota; Gammaproteobacteria; Chromatiales; Ectothiorhodospiraceae.
GCGGGCGUAGCUCAGUUGGUAGAGCUCCGGAUUGUGAUUCCGGUCGUCGUGGGUUCGAGUCCCAUCGCUCGCCCCA